This 261-nucleotide ribosomal RNA is filed under the name uncultured Stemonitis sp. Its description in RNAcentral is "partial 18S ribosomal RNA". It matches the Rfam family "Eukaryotic small subunit ribosomal RNA", at positions 28 to 259 of the family's 1831-position model. The record is from RNAcentral. Lineage: Eukaryota; Evosea; Eumycetozoa; Stemonitida.
AUGCUUUUCCUAAAGAUUAAGCCAUGCAUGCCUAAGACUAUGAGGAAGCAAUUCUCUCUGAAUCUGCGAACGGCUCCGCAAACCAGUUAUAAACCAUAGCAGCGUUCCGCCCGGCUUCAGCAAUGGAGCCGGGCAUUAUAUGGAUAACCGUGGUAAUUCUGAGGCUAAUACAUGACACACCAACCUGCCGGGCUGGGGGCAACUCCGGCUAGGUGGGGGACGUGCAAACUCCCAUUGCUAUAACAAAACCACGAAUGAAUG